This 362-nucleotide ribosomal RNA is filed under the name uncultured bacterium. RNAcentral describes it as "partial 16S ribosomal RNA". It matches the Rfam family "Bacterial small subunit ribosomal RNA", at positions 338 to 717 of the family's 1533-position model. The record is from RNAcentral.
CCUACGGGAGGCAGCAGUAGGGAAUAUUGCUCAAUGGGGGAAACCCUGAAGCAGCAACGCCGCGUGGAGGAUGAAGGUUUUCGGAUUGUAAACUCCUUUUGUUAGAGAAGAGAAUGACGGUAUCUAACGAAUAAGCACCGGCUAACGCCGUGCCAGCAGCCGCGGUAAUACGGAGGGGGCAAGCGUUACUCGGAAUCACUGGGCGUAAAGAGCGCGUAGGCGGGAUAGCAAGUCAGAUGUGAAAUCCUAUGGCUUAACCAUAGAACUGCAUUUGAAACUGUUAUUCUAGAGUAUGGGAGAGGUAGGUGGAACUCUUGUUGUAGGCGUUAAAUCCGUAGAGAUCAAGAGGACUACUCAUUGCG